This 411-nucleotide ribosomal RNA is filed under the name uncultured bacterium. RNAcentral's name for it is "partial 16S ribosomal RNA". It matches the Rfam family "Bacterial small subunit ribosomal RNA", at positions 355 to 776 of the family's 1533-position model. The record is from RNAcentral. RNAcentral also lists the same sequence under 1 other name.
UGGGGAAUAUUGCACAAUGGGCGCAAGCCUGAUGCAGCGACGCCGCGUGGGGGAUGAAGGCCUUCGGGUUGUAAACUCCUUUCGCUAGGGACGAAGCUUUUUGUGACGGUACCUAGAUAAGAAGCACCGGCUAACUACGUGCCAGCAGCCGCGGUAAUACGUAGGGUGCGAGCGUUGUCCGGAAUUACUGGGCGUAAAGGGCUCGUAGGUGGUUUGUCGCGUCGUCUGUGAAAUUCUGGGGCUUAACUCCGGGCGUGCAGGCGAUACGGGCAUAACUUGAGUGCUGUAGGGGUAACUGGAAUUCCUGGUGUAGCGGUGAAAUGCGCAGAUAUCAGGAGGAACACCGAUGGCGAAGGCAGGUUACUGGGCAGUUACUGACGCUGAGGAGCGAAAGCAUGGGUAGCGAACAGG